This 439-nucleotide ribosomal RNA is filed under the name uncultured bacterium. RNAcentral's name for it is "bacterial SSU rRNA". It matches the Rfam family "Bacterial small subunit ribosomal RNA", at positions 364 to 793 of the family's 1533-position model. The record is from RNAcentral.
UUGCACAAUGGGGGAAAGCCUGAUCCAGCCAUGCCGCGUGUGUGAAGAAGGUCUUCGGAUUGUAAAGCACUUUAAGUUGGGAGGAAGGGCAGUAAGUUAAUACCUUGCUGUUUUGACGUUACCAACAGAAUAAGCACCGGCUAACUUCGUGCCAGCAGCCGCGGUAAUACGAAGGGUGCAAGCGUUAAUCGGAAUUACUGGGCGUAAAGCGCGCGUAGGUGGUUCAGCAAGUUGGAUGUGAAAUCCCCCGGGCUCAACCUGGGAACUGCAUCCAAAACUACUGAGCUAGAGUACGGUAGAGGGUGGUGGAAUUUCCUGUGUAGCGGUGAAAUGCGUAGAUAUAGGAAGGAACACCAGUGGCGAAGGCGACCACCUGGACUGAUACUGACACUGAGGUGCGAAAGCGUGGGGAGCAAACAGGAUUAGACUACCCUGGUAG